Molecule: ribosomal RNA, 300 nt
Filed under: uncultured bacterium
Lineage: Bacteria
Description: bacterial SSU rRNA
Rfam family: Bacterial small subunit ribosomal RNA
Source: RNAcentral
CUAACUCCGUGCCAGCAGCCGCGGUAAUACGGAGGGUGCGUAGCGUUAAUUCGGAAUUACUGGGCGUAAAGCGCAUGCAGGUGGUUUGUUAAGUCAGAUGUGAAAGCCCGGGGCUCAACCUCGGAAUUGUCAUUUGAAACUGGCAAACUAGAGUACUGUAGAGGGGGUAGAAUUUCAGGUGUAGCGGUGAAAUGCGUAGAGAUCUGAAGGAAUACCGGUGGCGAAGGCGGCCCCCCUGGACAGAUACUGACACUCAGAUGCGAAAGCGUGGGGAGCAAACAGGAUUAGAUACCCUGGUAG